ACCACCAGUGAGCAAUGGUUGCAGCAGUCAAGACCAGUAGAUGACACUGACAAGGAUGAUGAUGGUCAUGACAGCUGAAACUAGCAAGCUGCUAAAAAUCACAAAACAACAGCUACUGUCAUUACUUCAAAACUUCCAUGCUUUCUGAAAUUUGCCAACAGUACACCUGAUGACCUCCAUCUCCGUUUCUUCUUGUUUUUUAAAAAACUUUUUCACUAUUCGCUUCCUGCGCAUAUUCUAUCAACUGUUCAUGCAGUUUUGGUUACUUUUCUGAUGUUCAAUGCCACUAUAGCUCCCCGUUCUUUCUCUGUCAUCAUCAAAAUAGGAAUAUUUAUAUUACUUCAACUGGUGACCCCCCGAGAAGAAACAAGCUUUUCAACCCCCAAAACAUUGAUAAGAACGCUUGCAGUUUUUCGUUGCCUGUACUGCCCACUAUUUGAUCACUAUAUAUGCAACAUGUAACAGGAAACCAAGAACAAAUCCCUGUGGAACACCAGAAGUAAUUACAUCGUAAUCUACACCAUCUAAAAUGUGUCUCUGGGAAAUUUCGGACUGAUGUCAGUUGGUUACAUAAUUGUAUUUAUGCUAGUCUGUUGCGGCUAAAUUAGGUCCCAUAUAAAUCAAUCUGUGAAAUUGUGUGUUUAGAAUAAAGAAUAUAACUCUGGUCUUUAUUCUAAAAUAAAAUAUGCAAGAAUAUAUCUUUUUAUCAUUCUGUAAACUUUCGUCUCAGAGAAUUAAAGGUGUCCUGAUAUUUCUUUUAGUAAUUUAAGCAAUGAAGGCUCCCUCCAUGAAAAAAUGCAAAUUAUCGUACAAACCGCCCCCUACACUCGCGCCAAAAUUAAAUAUGGCGAGACCUGUCGCUCUGAAGUAUGUUGUGAGUUUUACUUCUCAGGAUGAAACCCAUUCCGUGCAAAACCUUCUAAAGGAUGGAUGUUUCAAAAAAUGGCUGUCUAAUCCCAAAGAUAGAACGGGAAUAAUGGAAGGAGUAUUUCAGUUGGAUCAAGCAUCUGUGAUAUCGUAUUUAGAUAUUGGUUCACAUAUGUGCUCCAAUAUAGAAAUUCGUGUUGGAAAAUCUGAUUGGCCUCAGAGUCGUGAGUUUGAACCAUUAAUACGAAACAUCAAUUUAAUGACCCUAUCUGAUGUUCAACUUCGUCGUAAUGUAAAUCACACAUCUAUGUUCAGUACUAAGGAUUUUUGUCCUGCAGCUUCUAAUGGAGUUUGGGAUCGUAUUCAUGUGAUUUGUCGACAGAAUUAUCGUAAAAAUGUCCAGUUUGGUCUCUCUUUCAUCAGAAUAAAAAAUAAACUUGUAGAUUCUUCACCACAGUCACCUAAACAAACUGUUGAAAAGGAUAUAUCGAAGAAAAUAUCGAAUGAAAUGAUUCAGCAGCAUUUUUUCAAAAACAAGCAGCCUUCUGUAUCUGAAAAUGAAAAACUUAAAGCCCAAUUAUUGAAAUUAUCAACCUGUGGAGAGGGUGGGCUUGAGUCAGUACAAGGAUUAUCUCGACCUGCUCAAAUGUUGCUUGCUGCUAAAGAAAAUGUUGGGAAAUAUUCUCCUGAGACUCGAUACAAAUCUGGUGGAAAAACUAAAAACGAUGUGUUAUUUUCAGAAACAGCUGCUCAAAGACAGAAUUUAACGAUAGAAGAAGAAAUGGAUUUAUUUAUAUCAAAGUUAAAAAUUAACAAGAAACAAUUACAUUCUGUCACCAUAGCUGAUCUACGACACCAGUUUGAAAAGAAGAAGCGGAAAUUGACUGUUGAAGAGCGAAACACUUAUGCAACCAAAGUCACUGACCAUAUCAAUAGUGUAUUUUCUUUGAGGGACUUGCAUAAAAAGGAGAAGGUAAUUGACCAGGAGGAGGAAGUACAGCAGUCCAAGAGGCUUAAAAUUGAACACAGGAACCAUAACACAAGCAAUAACUUGCCAUUGCCUUCAGCUGCUUCAACAUCAAAAAAUAAUUAUUCCAAUUUGCAACAUAAAGCAACAAACUUAAUUGAGACAAAAGAAACUCAAGAAGGCUCAGGUGAUUUUCAGUUAUUGAUGGAUAUGCCUGAAGAUUUACCAAAGACCAUUAAUACUAAGAAUCAGAACUUAAAUACAUCUGUUAAUAAUUUUGAACCUUUGCUUCAAAAUACCAACUUUUUAAAUUCUAGUGAAAUAUCAUCUGGUAAAUUAGAAGCAAUGACUAUUAAAAAGGAUUCUUUUGCUUUGGGUAAAACCGGACAUACCAAGACGUCUCCAAAAAAUUCAUUUUCAUCUUCAGGGGACCAUACUACUACAUCUAAUACAGAUAUUAGAGUGGAUCUUGAAGAAAUGGACUUUGAUUGUGUUAGUUGUCCACUCUGUGGAGAAUUCUUCCCAGGAGAUGUUAUUGAAAUGCAUGCCAAUGUUUGUGCUGAUAGCCAGCAGUUUGAAUUACAUUAUUCUCCUUGAAUUAGGUAAUAACUGUUGUUUUGGGACUGUUAUAUUAUGUAAACACUUCAUUUAUAAAGUCAGUGACUCACAACUAUUACUACUUGGUCAAACCAACAGAUUUGAAAGCUAAAAGACACAAGUGAGAAAAUAAAAUUCACUUAUGAAGCUAACAGAUGGAGUUAAUAUUGGAGAGAAUGAGAGGAAGCUUAGAGGCAAAGGCAGCAGACAUAAAGGGAUAUUACAGAGAUGAAAAGAAGUUCAGUUAAUUUGGGACAAAAGAAUACUGAGAUGGUUAUAUUUCUGUUAAAAAAAAAAUGGAAUUACAUUAUGAAAUACAGUGAGAGUUACAUGUGCUCAAAUUGUGAAGAUGUUGGACUGCUAGCUAAAAAAAUCAGUUUAUAUCUUCUCUGUCGCAGUAAGCUAUGACAAGAUAUUUCCUCAUCUUCAGUGGUUCUAGGGUAUCAGAAUGAAGAGGGUAAAUGUUACUUUCAGGCAUCUACUUUACCUUUAGGUUUCUAUGUUCAGUAAAUAACAGAGUAGGUAUUGUGAUGAAGCAUAGCACAUCAUUGAAAGCAAGGAGAGCAUUUUAUUGAGCGCACCAGUGGACACUAAAAAAAAACCUGAAUUCUAUCUAAGGGAAGAAACCUUAGGUAAUGUUAUGAACAAAAACAUACAAGCAAAACUAAAUUUAAAUCCCCACCCUGCCUUUUUUUAUAUUAAAAGAACCACCUCGUCUAUGGAAUCAAAUCUUUAUAGUGAAAGUUACUAUUAUAAGAAAACCCUUCACUUUACACAAUACACACAUUAUACAAUUUGAAGAAAAGAAGUUUGAAUCAUGUAUU
Molecule: unclassified non-coding RNA, 3255 nt
Organism: Octopus bimaculoides (California two-spot octopus)
Lineage: Eukaryota; Metazoa; Mollusca; Cephalopoda; Octopoda; Octopodidae
Source: RefSeq, a predicted model, not a curated record